UCCGAGUUGACCCCGGCAGUCUCCAAUGAGUCCCCGCCAUUACGCGCUGGCAACAUUGAACGAGGGUUGCGCUCGUUGCGGGACUUAACCCAACAUCUCACGACACGAGCUGACGACAACCAUGCACCACCUGUAUAGGGCCCUUGCGGACCUCACAUCUCUGUGAGAUUUCCCUAUAUGUCAAGCCUUGGUAAGGUUCUUCGCGUUGCGUCGAAUUAAGCCGCAUGCUCCGCCGCUUGUGCGGGUCCCCGUCAAUUCCUUUGAGUUUCGGUCUUGCGACCGUACUCCCCAGGCGGAGUGUUUCACGCGUUAGCUGGGCCCCUGAUCCACGUAGACCAAGGGCGAACACUCAUCGUUUACGGCGUGGACUAC
RNAcentral lists this unclassified non-coding RNA (372 nucleotides) under uncultured Actinomycetes bacterium. RNAcentral describes it as "uncultured actinobacterium contains 16S-23S intergenic spacer region". Lineage: Bacteria; Bacillati; Actinomycetota; Actinomycetes. The record is from RNAcentral.